ACUCAAAGGAAUAGACGGGGGCUCACACAAGCGGUGGAGGAUGUUGCUCAAUUCGAAGCAACGCGAAGAACCUUACCUGGGUUUGACAUGCAGGGAUUAACCCCAUGAAAGUGGGGGGAUUGCCUUCGGGUGUAACCUGUACAGGUGUUGCAUGGCUGUCGUCAGCUCGUGCCUUGAGGUGUUGGGUUAAGUCCCCUAACGAGCGAAACCCCUGUCGUUAGUUGCCAUCGGGUCAUGCCGGGCACUCUAGCGAGACUGCCGGUGUCAAACCGGAGGAAGGUGGGGACGACGUCAAGUCAUCAUGGCCCUUAUAUCCAGGGCGGCAAACGUCCUACAAUGGCCCGUACAAAGGGAAGCAAAGCCGCGAGGCGGAGCAAAUCCCAAAAAGCGGGCCCUAGUUCGGAUUGCAGGCUGCAAUUCGCCUGCAUGAAGCUGGAAUCGCUAGUAAUCGCGGAUCAGAACGCCGCGGUGAAUAUGUUCCUGAGCCUUGUACACACCGCCCGU
This 504-nucleotide ribosomal RNA is filed under the name uncultured bacterium. Its description in RNAcentral is "bacterial SSU rRNA". It matches the Rfam family "Bacterial small subunit ribosomal RNA", at positions 899 to 1397 of the family's 1533-position model. The record is from RNAcentral.